This 772-nucleotide ribosomal RNA is filed under the name Staphylinidae sp. NZAC 03009131. Its description in RNAcentral is "eukaryotic LSU rRNA". It matches the Rfam family "Eukaryotic large subunit ribosomal RNA", at positions 396 to 944 of the family's 3401-position model. The record is from RNAcentral. Lineage: Eukaryota; Metazoa; Arthropoda; Insecta; Coleoptera; Staphylinidae.
UACGUGAAACCGUUUAGGGGUAAACCUGAGAAACCCGAAAGUUCGAACGAGGAGAUUCAGUGUGUCUCGGUGAGUGCGAGUGCCGUUUGUAGACGAUCGUCGUUCGCGGCAGUCGCUUCUUACGUGCGCCGUUGCUUGUCGAACGCAUGCACUUCUCCUCCAGUAGGACGUCACGACCCGUUGGGUGUCGGUCUGAGGCUUGCAGAGGAGCCCGUUCGUCGGUUUCGGCCGUUCGUUCGGACCUGUGAUGUCCCGGCCGGCUGCUCGACGGUAUGACUAAGGCGCAGAGCCGCGACUAGUUCGCGUUCGGCCCGAUACAAGCAUGGACGGUUACCUGAUCAUCGGACUUGUGCCGAUCUCGGGGCCGGGCAGCUGUUGGUGUCGGUGUUCCCGGACAGACUCUGUACUCGCCAGUCGGUGACGCUAUAGCUUUGGGUACUUUCAGGACCCGUCUUGAAACACGGACCAAGGAGUCUAGCAUGUGCGCGAGUCAUUGGGACUAUCGAAUCCUAAAGGCGCAAUGAAAGUGAAGGCAGAGCCUGGCUCAGCCGAGGGAAGAUGGGUGACUUCGGUCGCCCCGCACUCCCGGGGCGUCUCGUUCUCAUUGCGAGAAGAGGCGCACCUAGAGCGUACACGCUGGGACCCGAAAGAUGGUGAACUAUGCCUGGUCAGGACGAAGUCAGGGGAAACCCUGAUGGAGGUCCGUAGCGAUUCUGACGUGCAAAUCGAUCGUCGGAACUGGGUAUAGCGGCGAAAGACUAAUCGAACCAUC